CUGGAAGAAGAAGCCCCUGGUUCUGUGAACAGCACACUGGUGUGGCAGCUGAUAGGGAGACAUCUGACUUCUGAUGUCCUCUGCAGUACAAUUCCUCAAAUGUGAAGGUGGGAUUUGGAAGAAGAAAGGCUUUCUGGACACUGGAAAAUAAGAAGACCCAGGACCCCUUGUCUGAUCUAGCUUUCUGUACUCACUGUCCAAACCCCUCCCCUUUCCUACAUCUUCUCUGAGAAAGUCAUCCUGCCUACAAUAUGCUUAAGUGGAGAACCAGAAUGUUUGUAAACAUCUC
Molecule: long non-coding RNA, 289 nt
Filed under: Ictidomys tridecemlineatus (thirteen-lined ground squirrel)
Lineage: Eukaryota; Metazoa; Chordata; Mammalia; Rodentia; Sciuridae
Description: lncRNA (ENSSTOG00000033337.1)
Source: RNAcentral